UGGCCCAUCCGGGCAACGGAUAUCUGCUUUUA
Molecule: non-coding RNA, 32 nt
Filed under: Otolemur garnettii (small-eared galago)
Lineage: Eukaryota; Metazoa; Chordata; Mammalia; Primates; Galagidae
Description: XIST RNA A repeat
Rfam family: XIST RNA A repeat
Source: Rfam by way of RNAcentral